Molecule: long non-coding RNA, 512 nt
Filed under: Homo sapiens (human)
Lineage: Eukaryota; Metazoa; Chordata; Mammalia; Primates; Hominidae
Description: HSALNT0319884
Source: RNAcentral
UGGAGGCAAAGGAGCUUUAAGGUUUAAUGACUACCCGAUUGAAUUUUGGGCCUGCAUGGUGGUUGUAGCCCCUUCAUUUUGGCCAAUUUCUUCCAUUUGGAAUGGCUGUACUUAUCUACUGCCUCUACCCCCAUUAUAUCUAUGUGGCUCCUCAAUCAAGGGAUAUAAUCUAUUUCUGCUCUCUUAAAUUGAAUUUGCUCUGUGACUUGCUUUGGCUAAUGGGACAUCAGCAAACAUGACAGUAACCUGCUGAAUAAAGAGAGAGACAUGUGACCAUCACCCUAGAGACACCAGGGCAAUUUUCAAAAACGUCCCACUCUGACUAUAACCAUCUGGCAUUUAUAAAGUCGGCUCUCAGGUGAUGAUGUAAACACCAAUGGAAAGUCAACAUCAAACAAAAAUUGUGUAAAGUCAAUUUGAUACCUAUCCUUUUAUUCUGGUUUCUUUUUUCCCCCCUUCAUCUUAAUAAUCCUACACAUUUGCAGUGAAUUUAGUGAAGUAUGAGGUAGCAG